This 436-nucleotide ribosomal RNA is filed under the name uncultured Akkermansia sp. RNAcentral's name for it is "bacterial SSU rRNA". It matches the Rfam family "Bacterial small subunit ribosomal RNA", at positions 956 to 1393 of the family's 1533-position model. The record is from RNAcentral. Lineage: Bacteria; Pseudomonadati; Verrucomicrobiota; Verrucomicrobiia; Verrucomicrobiales; Akkermansiaceae.
UUAACGCGAAGAACCUUACCUGGGCUUGACAUGUAAUGAACAACAUGUGAAAGCAUGCGACUCUUCGGAGGCGUUACACAGGUGCUGCAUGGCCGUCGUCAGCUCGUGUCGUGAGAUGUUUGGUUAAGUCCAGCAACGAGCGCAACCCCUGUUGCCAGUUACCAGCACGUGAAGGUGGGGACUCUGGCGAGACUGCCCAGAUCAACUGGGGGGAAGGUGGGGACGACGUCAGGUCAGUAUGGCCCUUAUGCCCAGGGCUGCACACGUACUACAAUGCCCAGUACAGAGGGGGCCGAAGCCGCGAGGCGGAGGAAAUCCUAAAAACUGGGCCCAGUUCGGACUGUAGGCUGCAACCCGCCUACACGAAGCCGGAAUCGCUAGUAAUGGCGCAUCAGCUACGGCGCCGUGAAUACGUUCCCGGGUCUUGUACACACGC